Sinocyclocheilus rhinocerous is the source of this 101-nucleotide long non-coding RNA. RefSeq lists it as uncharacterized. NCBI's taxonomy places the organism in Eukaryota, Metazoa, Chordata, Actinopteri, Cypriniformes, Cyprinidae. The record is from RefSeq and is a predicted model, not a curated record. The transcript has 4 exons.
AAGAGUUGAUUAGGCUUUCUUCAUACUGGCUAGUGCUAGAAUCUGAUUUAUGAGCAUCCUGUUGUCUUGGGCCUCUGUGGAAUUCAGCUCCUCGUGUUUCA